This 418-nucleotide ribosomal RNA is filed under the name Ameerega bassleri (pleasing poison frog). RNAcentral's name for it is "partial 16S ribosomal RNA". It matches the Rfam family "Bacterial large subunit ribosomal RNA", at positions 1972 to 2542 of the family's 2925-position model. Lineage: Eukaryota; Metazoa; Chordata; Amphibia; Anura; Dendrobatidae. The record is from RNAcentral.
UCCUUUAAAUGAGGACUAGUAUGAAUGGCCCCACGAGGGCUGCACUGUCUCCUUUUUCUAAUCAAUGAAACUAAUCUCCCCGUGAAGAAGCGGGGAUAAUUCUAUAAGACGAGAAGACCCUAUGGAGCUUUAAACAACUGAAACACUUGCUUUUCCAUUAACCUCUUCCGAGUUCUUUACUUCACUCAAGCAUUUUUAUUUCUAGUUUUAGGUUGGGGUGACCACGGAGCAAAACUAAACCUCCACGAAGAAAUGAAUACUUUUUAAGCCACAAACUACUUUUUUAAGCAUCAACAAAUUGACCUUCAUUGACCCAAUAUAUUGAUCAACGAACCAAGUUACCCUAGGGAUAACAGCGCAAUCUACUUCAAGAGCUCGUAUCGACAAGUAGGUUUACGACCUCGAUGUUGGAUCAGGG